This is a long non-coding RNA of Coccinella septempunctata (seven-spotted ladybird), 845 nucleotides long. RefSeq lists it as uncharacterized. The record is from RefSeq and is a predicted model, not a curated record. The transcript has 2 exons. NCBI's taxonomy places the organism in Eukaryota, Metazoa, Arthropoda, Insecta, Coleoptera, Coccinellidae.
CUGAUAAAUUUUGCAAUCUGCCAUAUUACGGAAAUAUUUCUCAUAAAAUAGCAAGGGUCCUGGGUAACCUAGAGAAUACGAAGAUUGCCUUUAAAUCUAAGAAUACUUUACAGCAAUACCUAAUCAAAAAUAAAACCCCUGUGGACAGCCUUGAGAAACCAGGAGUCUACAGACUCGAAUGUGGCGAUUCGGAAUGCAACGCUGUAUACGUGGGCAGAAGCGGAAGGUCAAUUAAAACUAGUACAAAGGAACAUCUAUAUAGCCUAAAAAACCCUAACAACAAUAAAUCCAUUUUUGGUUCACACCUUCGAGAUGAAGAACAUUGCUUCGAUAUUAACACCAAUGUGAAAUUGUUGCAUCAUUGCGACUUCGGGUUCAGGCAGGAGAUACUUGAAGAAGUCGAAAUAUUUAAACAUAUGCGGGACAACCGAUAUAACACACUCAAUGCAAUGCUAACUAAUAAUAUAAAAGAAACAUAUAAAUUAAUAUCACCUAGCACACGAGAUUGAUGAAGAAGAUGAUUUUUAUAUCUGUUAUGUGUCCGUGUUCGGAAGAUUUAGUUUUGUAUUACACCCGUCUGCCUGACGUUGAUGUGUCACCUUUCAACUUUUGACGGUCGACCUGAUGUGUCUUUGUUGUUUUACUGUUUAUGAGUAACUAUGUUUAAUUGUAACUUCACUUGAAACUAAGAGCUUAUAUAUUUUUACUUGGAUGACUGACUAUCAUGACAAUUUUGGAACCAAAAAUCAUAUUCAUGGUUUGAUAAUGGCCGAAAAAGGCCGAAACAUGUCACCUAUAUGAUAUAAAUAUAUGGUUCCAAAAGUAUAGAAGUGUUUUCAAGACUU